AGUGAACGCUGGCGGUAGGCCUAACACAUGCAAGUCGAACGGCAGCACAGUAAGAGCUUGCUCUUACGGGUGGCGAGUGGCGGACGGGUGAGGAAUACAUCGGAAUCUACUUUUUCGUGGGGGAUAACGUAGGGAAACUUACGCUAAUACCGCAUACGACCUACGGGUGAAAGCAGUGGAUCUUCGGACCUUGCGCGAUUGAAUGAGCCGAUGUCGGAUUAGCUAGUUGGCGGGGUAAAGGCCCACCAAGGCGACGAUCCGUAGCUGGUCUGAGAGGCUGAUCAGCCACACUGGAACUGAGACACGGUCCAGACUCCUACGGGAGGCAGCAGUGGGGAAUAUUGGACAAUGGGCGCAAGCCUGGUCCAGCCAUACCGCGUGGGUGAAGAAGGCCUUCGGGUUGUAAAGCCCUUUUGUUGGGAAAGAAAAGCAGCAGGUUAAUACCCCGCUGUUCUGACGGUACCCAAAGAAUAAGCACCGGCUAACUUCGUG
RNAcentral lists this ribosomal RNA (492 nucleotides) under uncultured bacterium. RNAcentral's name for it is "partial 16S ribosomal RNA". It matches the Rfam family "Bacterial small subunit ribosomal RNA", at positions 29 to 507 of the family's 1533-position model. The record is from RNAcentral.